UAAGGAAUAUUGGUCAAUGGACGCAAGUCUGAACCAGCCAUGCCGCGUGAAGGAUGAAGGUCCUCUGGAUUGUAAACUUCUUUUUAUAGGGGGCGAAAAAAGGGUUUUCUAACUCACUUGACAGUACCCUAUGAAUAAGCACCGGCUAACUCCGUGCCAGCAGCCGCGGUAAUACGGAGGGUGCAAGCGUUAUCCGGAUUCACUGGGUUUAAAGGGUGCGUAGGCGGGUAGGUAAGUCAGAGGUGAAAUCCUGGAGCUUAACUCCAGAACUGCCUUUGAUACUAUCUAUCUUGAAUAUGGUGGAGGUAAGCGGAAUAUGUCAUGUAGCGGUGAAAUGCAUAGAUAUGACAUAGAACACCUAUUGCGAAGGCAGCUUACUACGCCUAUAUUGACGCUGAGGCACGAAAGCGUGGGGAUCAAACAGGAUUAGAUACCCGUGUAGUCCCUGAGCGGGCUGGCAAGGCGCAU
RNAcentral lists this ribosomal RNA (468 nucleotides) under uncultured bacterium. RNAcentral describes it as "bacterial SSU rRNA". It matches the Rfam family "Bacterial small subunit ribosomal RNA", at positions 355 to 825 of the family's 1533-position model. The record is from RNAcentral.